Molecule: ribosomal RNA, 1271 nt
Filed under: metagenome
Description: bacterial SSU rRNA
Rfam family: Bacterial small subunit ribosomal RNA
Source: RNAcentral
CUGCGGCGUAUUAACUUGUUGGUGGGGUAACGGCCUACCAAGGUGAUGAUACGUAGCCGAACUGAGAGGUUGAUCGGCCACAUUGGGACUGAGACACGGCCCAAACUCCUACGGGAGGCAGCAGUAGGGAAUCUUCCACAAUGGACGAAAGUCUGAUGGAGCAACGCCGCGUGAAUGAAGAAGGCCUUCGGGUCGUAAAAUUCUGUUGUCAGAGAAGAAUGUGCGUGAGAGUAACUGUUCACGUAUUGACGGUAUCUGACCAGAAAGCCACGGCUAACUACGUGCCAGCAGCCGCGGUAAUACGUAGGUGGCAAGCGUUGUCCGGAUUUAUUGGGCGUAAAGGGAACGCAGGCGGUCUUUUAAGUCUGAUGUGAAAGCCUUCGGCUUAACCGAAGUAGUGCAUUGGAAACUGGAAGACUUGAGUGCAGAAGAGGAGAGUGGAACUCCAUGUGUAGCGGUGAAAUGCGUAGAUAUAUGGAAGAACACCAGUGGCGAAAGCGGCUCUCUGGUCUGUAACUGACGCUGAGGUUCGAAAGCGUGGGUAGCAAACAGGAUUAGAUACCCUGGUAGUCCACGCCGUAAACGAUGAGUGCUAAGUGUUGUAGGGUUUCCGCCCUUCAGUGCUGCAGCUAACGCAUUAAGCACUCCGCCUGGGGAGUACGGUCGCAAGACUGAAACUCAAAGGAAUUGACGGGGGCCCGCACAAGCGGUGGAGCAUGUGGUUUAAUUCGAAGCAACGCGAAGAACCUUACCAGGUCUUGACAUCUUCUGACAAUUCCAGAGAUGGAACGUUCCCUUCGGGGACAGAAUGACAGGUGGUGCAUGGUUGUCGUCAGCUCGUGUCGUGAGAUGUUGGGUUAAGUCCCGCAACGAGCGCAACCCUUAUUGUCAGUUGCCAUCAUUAAGUUGGGCACUCUGGCGAGACUGCCGGUGACAAACCGGAGGAAGGUGGGGAUGACGUCAAAUCAUCAUGCCCCUUAUGACCUGGGCUACACACGUGCUACAAUGGACGGUACAACGAGUCGCUAACUCGCGAGGGCAAGCUAAUCUCUUAAAGCCGUUCUCAGUUCGGAUUGCAGGCUGCAACUCGCCUGCAUGAAGUCGGAAUCGCUAGUAAUCGCGAAUCAGCAUGUCGCGGUGAAUACGUUCCCGGGCCUUGUACACACCGCCCGUCACACCAUGAGAGUUUGUAACACCCAAAGUCGGGGUAACCUUUUGGAGCCAGCCGCCUAAGGUGGGACAGAUGAUUGGGGUGAAGUCGUAACAAGGUA